ACCUCAGAGAUAGCUCAGUGGGUAGAGCAUGCAAUUCUUAAUCUCAGGGCCAUGGGUUCGAGUCCCACAUUGGGUG
Non-coding RNA from Podarcis lilfordi (Lilford's wall lizard), 76 nucleotides. The record is from the annotation of a GenBank genome assembly. Lineage: Eukaryota; Metazoa; Chordata; Lepidosauria; Squamata; Lacertidae.